GACGCAAGUCUGAUGGAGCAACGCCGCGUGAGUGAAGAAGGCUUUCGGGUCGUAAAACUCUGUUGUUGGAGAAGAAUGGUCGGCAGAGUAACUGUUGUCGGCGUGACGGUAUCCAACCAGAAAGCCACGGCUAACUACGUGCCAGCAGCCGCGGUAAUACGUAGGUGGCAAGCGUUAUCCGGAUUUAUUGGGCGUAAAGCGAGCGCAGGCGGUUUUUUAAGUCUGAUGUGAAAGCCCUCGGCUUAACCGAGGAAGUGCAUCGGAAACUGGGAAACUUGAGUGCAGAAGAGGACAGUGGAACUCCAUGUGUAGCGGUGAAAUGCGUAGAUAUAUGGAAGAACACCAGUGGCGAAGGCGGCUGUCUGGUCUGUAACUGACGCUGAGGCUCGAAAGCAUGGGUAGCGAACAGGAUUAGAUACCCUGGUAGUCCAUGCCGUAAACGAUGAAUGCUAGGUGUUGGAGGGUUUCCGCCCUUCAGUGCCGCAGCUAACGCAUUAAGCACUCCGCCUGGGGAUUACGACCGCAAGGUUGAAACUCAAAGGAAUUGACGGGGGCCCGCACAAGCGGUGGAGCAUGUGGUUUAAUUCGAAGCAACGCGAAGAACCUUACCAGGUCUUGACAUCUUUUGAUCACCUGAGAGAUCAGGUUUCCCCUUCGGGG
RNAcentral lists this ribosomal RNA (660 nucleotides) under Lacticaseibacillus rhamnosus. RNAcentral's name for it is "bacterial SSU rRNA". It matches the Rfam family "Bacterial small subunit ribosomal RNA", at positions 374 to 1025 of the family's 1533-position model. Lineage: Bacteria; Bacillati; Bacillota; Bacilli; Lactobacillales; Lactobacillaceae. The record is from RNAcentral.